CCCGCACAAGCGGAGGAACAUGUGGUUUAAUUCGAUGAUACGCGAGGAACCUUACCUGGGCUUAAAUGGGGAGUGACAGCUGUCGAAAGAUGGUUUUCUUCGGACACUCUUCAAGGUGCUGCAUGGUUGUCGUCAGCUCGUGCCGUGAGGUGUCGGGUUAAGUCCCAUAACGAGCGCAACCCUUACCGUUAGUUACCAUCAGGUUAAGCUGGGGACUCUAGCGGGACUGCCACCGUAAGGUGAGAGGAAGGUGGGGAUGACGUCAAAUCAGCACGGCCCUUAUGUCCAGGGCUACACACGUGUUACAAUGGCCAGUACAAAGGGCAGCUACCGGGUGACCGGAUGCUAAUCUCUAAAGCUGGUCUCAGUUCGGAUCGAAGUCUGCAACCCGACUUCGUGAAGCUGGAUUCGCUAGUAAUCGCGCAUCAGCCAUGGCGCGGUGAAUACGUUCCCGGGCCUU
This 460-nucleotide ribosomal RNA is filed under the name uncultured Sphingobacteriales bacterium. RNAcentral describes it as "bacterial SSU rRNA". It matches the Rfam family "Bacterial small subunit ribosomal RNA", at positions 920 to 1382 of the family's 1533-position model. The record is from RNAcentral. Lineage: Bacteria; Pseudomonadati; Bacteroidota; Sphingobacteriia; Sphingobacteriales.